GGUGAGGUGUCCGAGUGGCUGAAGGAGCACGCCUGGAAAGUGUGUAUACGGCAACGUAUCGGGGUUCGAAUCCCCCCUCACCG
This 83-nucleotide transfer RNA is filed under the name Escherichia coli O104:H4 str. C227-11. RNAcentral describes it as "tRNA-Ser". It matches the Rfam family "tRNA". From Rfam's summary of the family: Transfer RNA (tRNA) molecules are approximately 80 nucleotides in length. Their secondary structure includes four short double-helical elements and three loops (D, anti-codon, and T loops). Further hydrogen bonds mediate the characteristic L-shaped molecular structure. tRNAs have two regions of fundamental functional importance: the anti-codon, which is responsible for specific mRNA codon recognition, and the 3' end, to which the tRNAs corresponding amino acid is attached (by aminoacyl-tRNA synthetases). tRNAs cope with the degeneracy of the genetic code in two manners: having more than one tRNA (with a specific anti-codon) for a particular amino acid; and 'wobble' base-pairing, i.e. permitting non-standard base-pairing at the 3rd anti-codon position. Lineage: Bacteria; Pseudomonadati; Pseudomonadota; Gammaproteobacteria; Enterobacterales; Enterobacteriaceae. The record is from RNAcentral.